AGGGUUUGAUCCUGGCUCAGAGUGAACGCUGGCGGCGUGGAUUAGGCAUGCAAGUCGUGCGAACUUAAUUCUGUGAUUAGAUGGACCUUCGGGGAAAUCUGUGAUCUAUUUUAGGUUAGCGGCAAACGGGUGAGUAACGCGUGGGUAGCCUACCUUGUGCAGGAGGAUAGCCUCAUGAAAAUGUGGGUAAUAUUCCAUAGUAUCUUGAUUCGAUAGGAUUAAGAUUAAAGAUGGCUGAAGCUUCGGCUGCUAUCGCCACGAGAGGGGCCCGUGUCCUAUCAGGUUGUUGGUGGGGUAAUGGCCUACCAAGCCUAAGACGGGUAGCUGGUCUGAGAGGAUGGUCAGCCACAUCGGGACUGAGACACUGCCCGGACUCCUACGGGAGGCUGCAGUCGAGAAUAUUUCACAAUGGACGAAAGUCUGAUGAUGCGACGCCGCGUGGGGGAUGAAGGCUUUCGGGUCGUAAACCCCUUUUAUUGAGGAGGAACGCUAAUGGGUAAAUAAUCUAUUAGCUUGACUUUACUCGAUGAAUAAGCCACGGCUAACUCCGUGCCAGCAGCCGCGGUAAUACGGAGGUGGCAAGCGUUACUCGGUUUGACUGGGUGUAAAGGGUCCGCAGGCUGUCUAACAUGUGAAAGGUGAAAUCCUUCCGCUUAACGGGAGAACUGCCUUUCAAACGGUUAGACUUGAGGUAGUAAGAGGAGAGCGGAACUGCAGGUGUAAAGGUGAAAUUUGUGGAUAUCUGCAGGAACGCCCGUGGAGAAGUCGGCUCUCUGGUACUAACCUGACGCUCAGGGACGAAAGCUAGGGGAGCAAACAGGAUUAGAUACCCUGGUAGUCCUAGCUGUAAACGAUGGGCACUAGGUACUUGUCGUGAGAUGGGUGCCGUAGCUAACGCGUUAAGUGCCCCACCUGGGGACUACGGCCGCAAGGCUAAAACUCAAAGGAAUUGACGGGGGCCCGCACAAGCGGUGGAACACGUGGUUUAAUUCGAUGCUACGCGAGGAACCUUACCAGGGUUUGACAUGCUGGAAGUAACGGCCUGAAAGGGUUUGUGAUCAGUAACCAAUCUGGAACCAGCACAGGUGCUGCAUGGCUGUCGUCAGCUCGUGCCGUGAGGUGUUCCCUUAAGUGGGAGAACGAGCGCAACCCUCGCCAUUAGUUGCUAACUUUGACAUUGUUAAAGAGCACUCUAGUGGGACUGCCCGCGUUAAGUGGGAGGAAGGUGGGGACGACGUCAAGUCCGCAAGGCCCUUAUGUCCUGGGCUACACACGUGUUACAAUGCUUGCUACAAAGGAAGGCCAAGUCGUGAGGCGGAGCAAAUCCCAAAAAAGCAGGCUCAGUUCGGAUUGAGGGCUGCAACUUGCCCUCAUGAAGCUGGAAUCGCUAGUAAUGGCGCAUCAGCAACGGCGCCGUGAAUACGUUCCCGGGCCUUGUACACACCGCCCGUCAAGCGCUGAAAGUGGGGGGCGCCCGAAGCUCCGACGAUUGCCGGAGUCACGGUGAAUUUCAUGAUUGGCGCUAAGUCGAACAAGGUA
Molecule: ribosomal RNA, 1539 nt
Filed under: metagenome
Description: bacterial SSU rRNA
Rfam family: Bacterial small subunit ribosomal RNA
Source: RNAcentral